CCGCACGCGUCGGGAGAGCGUGCGGCACAUCGUUCGUCGAUCGGAUGGCUUGCCGCGCCGCCGAAGGGGCACACCCGCAAACUCUCAGGCAAAAGGACCGGCCGCGUCGAA
This is a regulatory RNA element of Burkholderia sp., 111 nucleotides long. It matches the Rfam family "Glycine riboswitch aptamer". Rfam says of the family: This family represents the bacterial glycine riboswitch. Glycine riboswitches usually consist of two metabolite-binding aptamers domains with similar structures in tandem. The aptamers cooperatively bind glycine to regulate the expression of downstream genes. The record is from Rfam. Lineage: Bacteria; Pseudomonadati; Pseudomonadota; Betaproteobacteria; Burkholderiales; Burkholderiaceae.